UAGGGAAUUUUCGUCAAUGGGGGCAACCCUGAACGAGCAAUGCCGCGUGAGCGAAGAAGGUCUUCGGAUUGUAAAGCUCUGUUGCCGGGGAAAAAAGGAAGGAAAGAGGAAAUGCUUUU
RNAcentral lists this ribosomal RNA (119 nucleotides) under uncultured bacterium. RNAcentral's name for it is "partial 16S ribosomal RNA". It matches the Rfam family "Bacterial small subunit ribosomal RNA", at positions 355 to 469 of the family's 1533-position model. The record is from RNAcentral.